This 449-nucleotide ribosomal RNA is filed under the name uncultured bacterium. RNAcentral's name for it is "partial 16S ribosomal RNA". It matches the Rfam family "Bacterial small subunit ribosomal RNA", at positions 29 to 523 of the family's 1533-position model. The record is from RNAcentral.
AACGAACGCUGGCGGCAGGCCUAACACAUGCAAGUCGAACGCCCUGGCAACAGGGAGUGGCAGACGGGUGAGUAACGCGUGGGAACGUGCCCUUCGGUUCGGAAUAACUCAGGGAAACUUGAGCUAAUACCGAAUACGUGCGAGAGCAGAAAGAUUUAUCGCCGAAGGAUCAGCCCGCGUCCGAUUAGCUAGUUGGUGAGGUAAUGGCUCACCAAGGCGACGAUCGGUAGCUGGUCUGAGAGGAUGAUCAGCCACACUGGGACUGAGACACGGCCCAGACUCCUACGGGAGGCAGCAGUGGGGAAUAUUGGACAAUGGGCGCAAGCCUGAUCCAGCCAUGCCGCGUGAGUGAUGAAGGCCCUAGGGUUGUAAAGCUCUUUCGCCAGGGGCGAUAAUGACGGUACCUGGAUAAGAAGCCCCGGCUAACUUCGUGCCAGCCGCCGCCGUAA